Molecule: long non-coding RNA, 361 nt
Filed under: Homo sapiens (human)
Lineage: Eukaryota; Metazoa; Chordata; Mammalia; Primates; Hominidae
Description: non-protein coding lnc-ALDH1A1-7:1
Source: RNAcentral
AUGGCUUUUAAGGAUACCGGAAAAACACCCACGGAGCCGAAGAUGGCAAUUCACCGAAUUCGAAUCACUCUAACAAGCUGCAAUGUAAAAUCCCUGGCGAAGGUGUGUGCUGACUUGAUCAGAGGAGCAAAGGAAAAGAAUCUCAAAGUGAAAAGACCAGUUCAAAUGCCUACUAAGACUUUGAGAAUCACUACAAGAAAAAACUCCAUGUGGUGAAGGUUCUAAGCCAUGGGAUCAUUUCCAGAUGAGAAUCCACAAGCGACUCAUUGACUUGCUCAGUCCUUCUGAGAUUGUUAAGCAGAUUACUUCCAUCAGUAUUGAGCCAGGAGUUGAGAUGGAAGUCACCAUUGUAGACGUAUAA